This 714-nucleotide long non-coding RNA is filed under the name Carassius auratus (goldfish). RNAcentral describes it as "lncRNA (ENSCARG00000045274.1)". Lineage: Eukaryota; Metazoa; Chordata; Actinopteri; Cypriniformes; Cyprinidae. The record is from RNAcentral.
GCGCAACUGCUUCUGCGGUUUGGUUCAAGCGUGUACGUCUGCAGACUGCAAGACGGGGGCGUAACUUGAAGUGGGCGUAACUUGAAGUAGGAGGCGUAACUUGAAGUUGUCCAAAUCACACAGAACCACGCGAGACUUCAAAACGAUAAGUUAUUGCCAAUAUGGCGGCACAGAGUAGAAUAUUGAUUACGUUUUAAGGGAGGCAGGGGUUUUAGGCAGGAUUUGAUUCAUGAUGUGUGUGUAGAUAUUAAUGUUAGGGGACAAUGUGAGAGUGUACGUUUUAGUAGGAAAACGUAUUAUCUGACCCACACUCCGGAACAGAAGAAGGCGGUAAUGCACCCAUAAGCUGGAUGCCAACCCCCGUUAAACUGGAAGAAGACGAAUAUGACAGCUUGCUGUGAGAGACAACGGGACAGACGAGACACAUGUGUGUUUAUCUGCUGUAGAGUAACUAAUGAAGGAAUGCUACCAUCUAAGGAUUUGUAUCUUUUGUGGUGGAGCAGGACCUGCAAGGAAAGGUGAAAAAGAGGGAAAACCUGAAACAAAAGAAUAAUGGGCCUACAAUCCCCUGAUCAACCUGGAGAAGAGAGCCUUGCUCAAGGACACACUGGUGUUCCUGUGGCUCAAGGGGUAGAGCAUUGCGUUAGCAGUGCAAGGUUGUGGGUUCGAAUACCAGGGAACACAUGUUAGGUAAAAACUUUUAGUCUGAAUGCA